Molecule: long non-coding RNA, 239 nt
Filed under: Erythranthe guttata (spotted monkey flower)
Lineage: Eukaryota; Viridiplantae; Streptophyta; Magnoliopsida; Lamiales; Phrymaceae
Description: long non-coding RNA (EGUT_LNC002013)
Source: RNAcentral
UGUAUACUGCCUUGCACAAAAGUUUACCUUUGGGAGUCCAUAUUUUACACUCCUUUUUGGUAAAUUCUACCUUUUUCUUUGAGGUGUUCCUUGGAGUGAUGUGACUUAUUUUAUACAACAUUUUGUCAUUACUGAGUUUCUCACAAAAUGGACGAAUGUGUCCUGGUGAGAAACAGUAAUGGCAAACAUAACCUCUUAUUCUGGAGUCUGAAGGAGUGGCUGUGGACUUCCUACAUUCC